Molecule: transfer RNA, 77 nt
Filed under: Salmonella phage FSL SP-058
Lineage: Duplodnaviria; Heunggongvirae; Uroviricota; Caudoviricetes; Schitoviridae
Description: tRNA-Arg
Source: RNAcentral
CAGAUUGUCGUUUUACUACGACGAUUGGGAUAGCAAGCUGGCUCUGCUUAAACCAGCGCAUAGUAAUGAGGGUAUUU